GUGGGCGGAAGCUCAUUGUAGAGGUCACAUGCUGAGUGCUCGUCACUCCACCAAUCACCUCGGGGAAGGUCUGAGACAAGAGCCAAUAGUUACCCUAGCAGGGUAUCACCUGAUGCGGGUGAGCGAGUGAACAGAAAAAAUGGGUCAUUGUGAGCAGUUAUCGCAGGAGAAGCUAUGUGGCGCAGUUUGUCAGCGCCUCACGGUGGAUGUGACGCUCACUGACUUGGAAUCGCUCGCGGCUGGCAAAUGAGUGCGAUGUAUGAGGUGGAGCACAGCUCCAGAACCCAAUUCAGACUACUCUCCACCCAC
Molecule: ribozyme, 309 nt
Organism: Cottoperca gobio
Lineage: Eukaryota; Metazoa; Chordata; Actinopteri; Perciformes; Bovichtidae
Rfam family: Nuclear RNase P
About the family: Ribonuclease P (RNase P) is a ubiquitous endoribonuclease, found in archaea, bacteria and eukarya as well as chloroplasts and mitochondria. Its best characterised activity is the generation of mature 5'-ends of tRNAs by cleaving the 5'-leader elements of precursor-tRNAs. Cellular RNase Ps are ribonucleoproteins.
Source: Ensembl